This is a transfer RNA of Camelus ferus (Wild Bactrian camel), 72 nucleotides long. It matches the Rfam family "tRNA". Rfam says of the family: Transfer RNA (tRNA) molecules are approximately 80 nucleotides in length. Their secondary structure includes four short double-helical elements and three loops (D, anti-codon, and T loops). NCBI's taxonomy places the organism in Eukaryota, Metazoa, Chordata, Mammalia, Artiodactyla, Camelidae. The record is from Rfam.
GAGGGUAUAGCUCAGUGGUAGCGUGUAUGCUUAGCAUGCAUGAAGUCGUGGGUUCAAUCCCCAGUACUUCCA